CCCUUAGAUGUUCUGGGCUGCACGCGCGCUACACUGAUGCAUCCAACGAGUUUUUGACCUGAGCCGAUAGGCCUAGGUAAUCUUGUGAGUAUGCAUCGUGAUGGGGAUAGAUUAUUGCAAUUAUUAAUCUUCAACGAGGAAUGCCUAGUAGGCGCGAGUCAACAGCUCGUGCCGAUUACGUCCCUGCCCUUUGUACACACCGCCCGUCGCUCCUACCGAUUGAGUGGUCCGGUGAAAUCUUGGGAUUUUGUUUUGUUUGCAUUUAUUUGUAUCGAGACGAGAGAACUUGAGUAAACCUUACCAUUUAGAGGAAGGUGAAGUCGUAACA
RNAcentral lists this ribosomal RNA (328 nucleotides) under uncultured eukaryote. RNAcentral describes it as "partial 18S ribosomal RNA". It matches the Rfam family "Eukaryotic small subunit ribosomal RNA", at positions 1470 to 1796 of the family's 1831-position model. The record is from RNAcentral.